Molecule: long non-coding RNA, 328 nt
Filed under: Brassica napus (rape)
Lineage: Eukaryota; Viridiplantae; Streptophyta; Magnoliopsida; Brassicales; Brassicaceae
Description: long non-coding RNA (BNAP_LNC017374)
Source: RNAcentral
UUGAGUGAGAAAUUAUUAAGUCAGUUUUUCAUAUCAUUUCUAUGAAUUCGAAAGUCUUAUUUUCAGUACCCGCUAGACAUUAUUUAUAAAGUGAAUUUGACACAUGUCCUCUCUAUAAUCGUUUUCACCAAAUAAAUAUGACAAGGCAUAAUAGAAAUGAUGACAUAGUUUAUGGUUAAAUGUGAUAUGAACAGUUGCAUUUAAUGUUUAUUAUAUUUUUGGUAAAUGUUUUAGAAUAUGGUAUUAAAUUAUACAUCAUCACUAAAGUAAGUCUAUUCAAAUAUGACACUAAAUGAUAUAAUAAUAAAAUUAUAAGUAUUUUUACAAA